CUUUUGCUGAGAGUGGAAAUGCCUCCGCUGAAAUGAUCUUGUGGAAGUAGGAAGACGCAAGAAGAAAACAUUCAAGUAGCCUGUAGCAGCCUGCACACUGCUACGAACAGAAGGAAAGCACGCAAAAGGAAAUAUGACUUGGAGGACAAACACAUCUGGCACAUUAUUAUUGGUUACUCCCUACCAUACAACGUGCCCUCAGCUGGUAGCAAUUACGCUAACUGCUACCUCCAAAGGGGAAACUAGUAUUGCCAGCCAUGAAUGAGGUUAACUGUGAAAAGUGAGAAAAGGAAGAAGCUGGAGAUAUGCCUAAGCAGUAUUUCUAUGCCUCCACAAGGAGAACCAUCCUUAUGCUUUGGAGACAGUGAACCGUGUGGCUUUUUGUCAGAGUGAAUCAGGUGAAGGCAUUGGUUUUCUUGGAACAAGCUGCAAAACCUUCCCCUCCCUUUGCCACAAACAUCCUACCAGAUGUAAUACAGCUGAUUUCUCAAAAGUGUGCUUUUUCUUUCUAGUGGGCAAGUAAAGCAAUGUUAAUCACUAGUGGGUGUUUUAGGUAAC
Long non-coding RNA from Calidris pugnax (ruff), 558 nucleotides. RefSeq lists it as uncharacterized. The record is from RefSeq and is a predicted model, not a curated record. Lineage: Eukaryota; Metazoa; Chordata; Aves; Charadriiformes; Scolopacidae. The transcript is spliced from 3 exons.